GCAAGAUUAAAACUCAAAGGAAUAGACGGGGACCCGCACAAGCGGUGGAGCAUGUGGUUUAAUUCGACGAUACGCGAAGAACCUUACCUGGCCUUGACAUAGACAGAAUUUUCCAGAGACGGAAAAGUGCUAGUUUACUAGAACUGUCAUACAGGUGCUGCACGGCUGUCGUCAGCUCGUGUCGUGAGAUGUUGGGUUAAGUCCCGCAACGAGCGCAACCCUCGUGUUUAGUUACUAACAGUUCGGCUGAGGACUCUAAACAGACUGCCUGGGUAACCAGGAGGAAGGUGAGGACGACGUCAAGUCAUCAUGGCCCUUACGGCCAGGGCUACGCACGUGCUACAAUGGGGUAUACAAAGAGCUGCAAUACGGUGACGUGGAGCAAAUCUCAUAAAAUAUCUCCCAGUUCGGAUUGAAGUCUGCAACUCGACUUCAUGAAGUUGGAAUCGCUAGUAAUCGUAGAUCAGCAAUGCUACGGUGAAUACGUUCCCGGGUCUUGUACUCACCGCCCGUCACACCAUGGGAAUUGAAUUCAUUCGAAGCGGGGAUGCUAAAAUAGCUACCUUCCACAGUGGAUUUAGUAACUAGGGUGAAGUCGUAACAAGGUA
RNAcentral lists this ribosomal RNA (608 nucleotides) under uncultured bacterium. RNAcentral describes it as "bacterial SSU rRNA". It matches the Rfam family "Bacterial small subunit ribosomal RNA", at positions 888 to 1498 of the family's 1533-position model. The record is from RNAcentral.